UCUAUUAUGGCAGAUUAGUGCAAUGGAUUUAAGCCCCAUAUAUAAAAUUUUUUUUUAUUAGAA
Molecule: transfer RNA, 63 nt
Filed under: Tenebrionoidea sp. 3 KM-2017
Lineage: Eukaryota; Metazoa; Arthropoda; Insecta; Coleoptera
Description: tRNA-Leu
Source: RNAcentral